RNAcentral lists this ribosomal RNA (497 nucleotides) under uncultured bacterium. RNAcentral describes it as "partial 16S ribosomal RNA". It matches the Rfam family "Bacterial small subunit ribosomal RNA", at positions 28 to 507 of the family's 1533-position model. The record is from RNAcentral.
GAUGAACGCUGGCGGCGUGCCUAAUACAUGCAAGUCGAGCGAACAGAUGAUGAGCUUGCUCCUCUGACGUUAGCGGCGGACGGGUGAGUAACACGUGUAUAACCUACCUAUAAGACUGGUAUAACUUCGGGAAACCGGAUCUAAUACCGUAGAAGAUAUUGAACCGCAUGGUUCAAUAGUGAAAGACGGUUUUGCUGGCACUUAUAGAUGGAUCCGCGCCGCAUUAGCUAGUUGGUAAGGUAACGGCUUACCAAGGCUACGAUGCGUAGACGAACUGAGAGGGUGAUAGGCCACACUGGAACUGAGCCGCGGUCCAGACUCCUACGGGAGGCAGCAGUAGGGAAUCUUCCGCAAUGGGCGAGAGCAUGACGGAGCAACGCCGCGUGAGUGAUGAAGGUCUUCGGAUCGUAAAACUCUGUUAUUAGUGAAGAACAAAUGUGUAAGUAACUAUGCACGUCUUGACGGUACCUAAUCAGAAAGCAACGGCUAACUACGUG